GACGAACGCUGGCGGCGUGCUUAACACAUGCAAGUCGAACGAAGAGCGACGGAAGCUUGCUUCUAUCAAUCUUAGUGGCGCACGGGUGAGUAACGCGUAAUCAACCUGCCCUUCAGAGGGGGACAACAGUUGGAAACGACUGCUAAUACCGCAUACGAUCUAAUCUCGGCAUCGAGGAUGGAUGAAAGGUGGCCUCUACAUGUAAGCUAUCACUGAAGGAGGGGAUUGCGUCUGAUUAGCUAGUUGGAGGGGUAACGGCCCACCAAGGCGAUGAUCAGUAGCCGGUCUGAGAGGAUGAACGGCCACAUUGGGACUGAGACACGGCCCAGACUCCUACGGGAGGCAGCAGUGGGGAAUCUUCCGCAAUGGACGAAAGUCUGACGGAGCAACGCCGCGUGAGUGAUGACGGCCUUCGGGUUGUAAAGCUCUGUUAAUCGGGACGAAAGGCCUUCUUGCGAAUAGUGAGAAGGAUUGACGGUACCGGAAUAGAAAGCCACGGCUAACUACGUG
Molecule: ribosomal RNA, 510 nt
Filed under: uncultured bacterium
Lineage: Bacteria
Description: partial 16S ribosomal RNA
Rfam family: Bacterial small subunit ribosomal RNA
Source: RNAcentral